AGAACGAACGCUGGCGGCGUGGAUCAGACAUGCAAGUCGAACGGGGUUAGUUCGGUAGUAAUACUGGGCUAAUCUAGUGGCGAACGGGUGCGUAACACGUGACCAACCUGCCUGAAAGUGGGGGAUAGCUCGCCGAAAGGCGAAUUAAUACCGCAUGUGAUCGCGAGAUCAAAGCAGCAAUGCGCUUUCAGAGGGGGUCGCGGCCUAUCAGCUAGUUGGUGAGGUAACGGCUUACCAAGGCAGCGACGGGUAGCUGGUCUGAGAGGACGACCAGCCACACUGGAACUGAGACACGGUCCAGACACCUACGGGUGGCAGCAGUCGAGAAUUUUCUCAAUGGGGGAAACCCUGAAGGAGCGACGCCGCGUGGAGGAUGAAGGCUUUCGGGUUGUAAACUCCUGUCAUCUGGGAACAAACCUGCAAAGGCUUGAUAGUACCAGAAGAGGAAGAGACGGCUAACUCUGCGCCAGCAGCCGCGGU
Molecule: ribosomal RNA, 480 nt
Filed under: uncultured bacterium
Lineage: Bacteria
Description: SSU rRNA
Rfam family: Bacterial small subunit ribosomal RNA
Source: RNAcentral